Oreochromis aureus is the source of this 607-nucleotide long non-coding RNA. NCBI's taxonomy places the organism in Eukaryota, Metazoa, Chordata, Actinopteri, Cichliformes, Cichlidae. The record is from Ensembl.
GUUAUGUGUCUGUGGAGGGAGAGAAAGGAAAAGUCCGAGCUGUCACGGAGCAAAAACGGGAGCUGGAAGCAUGUAAAUAUAAUAAUAACCACUGCAGCCAAGAAGAGUGCCUGACGAGCCCAUUUCUCGUCUGACUGUGAGUCCCAGCAGCUCUCAGUUAUUUGAAGGAGACUUCGUGUCUCUGAGCUGUGAGGAGGACGACAGCUCUGCUGGAUGGACUCUGAGGACCAAAAAUAAGAUCACUCAGUGUGGAGAUGGGUGAGGAACAUCAUCUAAUUCUUCCUGUGACAUCAGCUACACCAUUGAAUGAGACAGUUGAGUUUACUGGUGUGAGUCCAGAGAGGGUCCCAUCAGUAACAUGGUUAACCUGACAGUCACUGUUUUCCACACCCGAGACUCAGUAUUAGUGACUCAACUGUUUACACACCUGGUCUCUCGAUGCUGGCCUACUUUGCUUCCAAGUUCAUACUGGACAUUCACCUGCCUGCCCUCCUGUUCUCAUCAAUCCUCUGGACUUUGGAAAGAACAAUAUUGGACAUCUUGGAUUCUCACUCCUCUGCUCCAUCAGACCCUCUCCUGGAUUCCUCUCCCUCAAUAUCACUGCUCU